AUUGAACGCUGGCGGCAGGCCUAACACAUGCAAGUCGAGCGGAUGAAGGGAGCUUGCUCCUGGAUUCAGCGGCGGACGGGUGAGUAAUGCCUAGGAAUCUGCCUGGUAGUGGGGGAUAACGUCCGGAAACGGGCGCUAAUACCGCAUACGUCCUGAGGGAGAAAGUGGGGGAUCUUCGGACCUCACGCUAUCAGAUGAGCCUAGGUCGGAUUAGCUAGUUGGUGGGGUAAAGGCCUACCAAGGCGACGAUCCGUAACUGGUCUGAGAGGUUGACCAGUCACACUGGAACUGAGACACGGUCCAGACUCCUACGGGAGGCAGCAGUGGGGAAUAUUGGACAAUGGGCGAAAGCCUGAUCCAGCCAUGCCGCGUGUGUGAAGAAGGUCUUCGGAUUGUAAAGCACUUUAAGUUGGGAGGAAGGGCAGUAAGUUAAUACCUUGCUGUUUUGACGUUACCAACAGAAUAAGCACCGGCUAACUUCGUG
RNAcentral lists this ribosomal RNA (484 nucleotides) under uncultured bacterium. Its description in RNAcentral is "partial 16S ribosomal RNA". It matches the Rfam family "Bacterial small subunit ribosomal RNA", at positions 30 to 507 of the family's 1533-position model. The record is from RNAcentral.